Molecule: ribosomal RNA, 642 nt
Filed under: uncultured bacterium
Lineage: Bacteria
Description: bacterial SSU rRNA
Rfam family: Bacterial small subunit ribosomal RNA
Source: RNAcentral
GCGGCCUAUCAGCUUGUUGGUGGGGUGAUGGCCUACCAAGGCGACGACGGGUAGCCGGCCUGAGAGGGCGACCGGCCACACUGGGACUGAGACACGGCCCAGACUCCUACGGGAGGCAGCAGUGGGGAAUCUUGCGCAAUGGGCGAAAGCCUGACGCAGCGACGCCGCGUGAGGGAUGACGGCCUUCGGGUUGUAAACCUCUUUCAGCCCUGACGAAGCGAAAGUGACGGUAGGGGCAGAAGAAGCACCGGCCAACUACGUGCCAGCAGCCGCGGUAAUACGUAGGGUGCAAGCGUUGUCCGGAAUUAUUGGGCGUAAAGAGCUCGUAGGUGGCCUGUCGCGUCGGCUGUGAAAACUCGGGGCUCAACUCCGAGCUUGCAGUCGAUACGGGCAGGCUAGAGUGCGGCAGGGGAGACUGGAAUUCCUGGUGUAGCGGUGAAAUGCGCAGAUAUCAGGAGGAACACCGGUGGCGAAGGCGGGUCUCUGGGCCGAUACUGACACUGAGGAGCGAAAGCGUGGGGAGCGAACAGGAUUAGAUACCCUGGUAGUCCACGCCGUAAACGUUGGGCGCUAGGUGUGGGAUCCCUUCCACGGGUUCCGUGCCGCAGCUAACGCAUUAAGCGCCCCGCCUGGGGAGUACGG